AAAAAUCUUACUAUUAUAUUUAUUUUACUAUUUGUACUCAAGAUUUUAUCUUAAGUACAGCGGUUCUGCUCGAAACCGUGUAGCAUUGGAAACAAUGGUACUAUGAAUUGUAGCGGGGGAGAGUCGCCCCAUAACAGGCUUGGCGGUACUCUGUGCGGGUACUUUGAUAAUGCUAAAGGUAGAAAGUAAGCUACUGCAAGACUUCUGGGGCGGAGUACAGAAGAAUAGGCGAUAUAGUCUAUAUCAAAGUAAGU
This 254-nucleotide non-coding RNA is filed under the name unclassified sequences. RNAcentral's name for it is "ARRPOF RNA". It matches the Rfam family "ARRPOF RNA". The record is from Rfam by way of RNAcentral.